GACGAACGCUGGCGGCGUGCUUAACACAUGCAAGUCGAACGGAAAGGCCCUGCUUUUGUGGGGUGCUCGAGUGGCGAACGGGUGAGUAACACGUGAGUAACCUGCCCUUGACUUUGGGAUAACUUCAGGAAACUGGGGCUAAUACCGGAUAGGAGCUCCUGCUGCAUGGUGGGGGUUGGAAAGUUUCGGCGGUUGGGGAUGGACUCGCGGCUUAUCAGCUUGUUGGUGGGGUAGUGGCUUACCAAGGCUUUGACGGGUAGCCGGCCUGAGAGGGUGACCGGCCACAUUGGGACUGAGAUACGGCCCAGACUCCUACGGGAGGCAGCAGUGGGGAAUAUUGCACAAUGGGAGGAAGCCUGAUGCAGCCACGCCGCGUGCGGGAUGACGGCCUUCGGGUUGUAAACCGCUUUCGCCUGUGACGAAGCGUGAGUGACGGUAAUGGGUAAAGAAGCACCGGCUAACUACGUG
Molecule: ribosomal RNA, 468 nt
Filed under: uncultured bacterium
Lineage: Bacteria
Description: partial 16S ribosomal RNA
Rfam family: Bacterial small subunit ribosomal RNA
Source: RNAcentral